Molecule: ribosomal RNA, 807 nt
Filed under: uncultured Paracoccaceae bacterium
Lineage: Bacteria; Pseudomonadati; Pseudomonadota; Alphaproteobacteria; Rhodobacterales; Paracoccaceae
Description: bacterial SSU rRNA
Rfam family: Bacterial small subunit ribosomal RNA
Source: RNAcentral
CAGAACGAACGCUGGCGGCAGGCCUAACACAUGCAAGUCGAGCGCAGUCCUUCGGGACCGAGCGGCGGACGGGUUAGUAACGCGUGGGAACGUACCCAGAUCUACGGAAUAGCCUCGGGAAACUGAGAGUAAUACCGUAUACGCCCUUCGGGGGAAAGAUUUAUCGGAUUUGGAUCGGCCCGCGUUAGAUUAGAUAGUUGGUGAGGUAACGGCUCACCAAGUCUACGAUCUAUAGCUGGUUUUAGAGGAUGAUCAGCAACACUGGGACUGAGACACGGCCCAGACUCCUACGGGAGGCAGCAGUGGGGAAUCUUAGACAGUGGGCGCAAGCCUGAUCUAGCCAUGCCGCGUGUGUGAUGAAGGCCUUAGGGUCGUAAAGCACUUUCGCCAGAGAUGAUAAUGACAGUAUCUGGUAAAGAAACCCCGGCUAACUCCGUGCCAGCAGCCGCGGUAAUACGGAGGGGGUUAGCGUUGUUCGGAAUUACUGGGCGUAAAGCGUACGUAGGCGGAUCAGAAAGUAUGGGGUGAAAUCCCAGGGCUCAACCCUGGAACUGCCUCAUAAACUCCUGGUCUAGAGUUCGAGAGAGGUGAGUGGAAUUCCGAGUGUAGAGGUGAAAUUCGUAGAUAUUCGGAGGAACACCAGUGGCGAAGGCGGCUCACUGGCUCGAUACUGACGCUGAGGUACGAAAGUGUGGGGAGCAAACAGGAUUAGAUAUCCCUGGUAGUCCACACCGUAAACGAUGAAUGCCAGUCGUCGGGUAGCAUGCUAUUCGGUGACACACCUAACGGAUUAAGCAUUCCGCCUGG